Molecule: non-coding RNA, 149 nt
Organism: Pelobates cultripes (western spadefoot toad)
Lineage: Eukaryota; Metazoa; Chordata; Amphibia; Anura; Pelobatidae
Source: the annotation of a GenBank genome assembly
GCUGACACGUCCCGGCCAAUCUCCAGCAGACCCUCCCUCCCAGACCCUCCUACUUCCUGGACAGCAUCCAUGUUGAAACAUGGAUGCUGUCCAGGAAGUAGGAGGGUCUGGGAGGGAGGGUCUGCUGGAGAUUGGCCGGGACGUGUCAG